UUCUUUACAUUAGCUCCCUUAAGGCUCUAUCUGCCUUUGAGCUUGCUUACCGGCAGUGCUUCUGACCACUCAUGGGUUAAUUUGAGGCAGCACAGCCAGGCGCCUGUCAGCUCUAAUGGAUUCAUCACUAUUAAUAAGUUUGGCGCCUAAUUUACUACGAGCUGGCACUGGCAAUGACGCUGAGAGAUCACAUGUCCCAGCUGAUGCGCAGAUUCUUCCCCACUGAAAUGGACGUUUCUGCCAAAGUCAAUGAGUAAAACUGACAGUGCGGAUGACUAACCUCCAGCCCAGAGCCUUUGGCAGCUCACACCUUUGUGCAAAGCACGAUCCAGUAGUUCCCUUUGGUUCUUUAUCAGCAUCUAUUUCUCUGAUGAGCUUGAGGAACUGUUAUUAUUAGCUAUAGGUACACGCCUUUAUAUCCUAGAACAACACCAAAAUAUCAUUUUAAGUUGAUUCUUCUCAAACAAUGACCAUCUGUAUAAAAUACGAAUGUCUGACCAAGGAAAUAUGUGUGUUUUUUGGAUAAUACAUGCAUGUUUUGGAGACACAAUUUUAAAAGUUACACAGAUUGGUCCCGAGGAUUCACAGACUGGUCUAAGGCUCUGGACUCCACCUUGAUUCACCAAUUUGCCUAAAAUAUGCUACAAAAGAAACUUCUGUGUUGCAGAAGGCUUCAAGGUGCUGUUCAUGUUUUCAGAAUGAUCUGCGACAAUAUCAGGUUUGAUUGUGACCAUCCUAUAUCAGAUCUCUGAAACCUUCAGGAGUUGAGGCCUGGCUAGUGCUUGGCUAGGGAUGGGCCUGUGAGGAUGACAGCGUCCCUGUUCCUGCUGUGUUCUCUGCUUCCCGUCGGCUGGGAUGUGAACAACCUCUGCUAUCCCUCUCCACCAUAAACUGUGCUACCACAGUCGCUUCCCUUCAGCGAUGGGCUCUGAAACAGUGAGGAGAAAUAAGCCUUUUCUUGGGUAACUUGUUUUCGUCUGGUGUUUGGUCACGGUCCACACAAAUUACUGAUAGACCAGCUGAGUCAAAGCCAAAGUACAUCUUAAGUAAUCCAAUCUCAGUGUGGCAUUUACUUCACAAUCUACAUUUGUUGUUAAGUUCUUCUCCAUGGUUCAUUUGAAAACUGACUCUCUCCCCCCUGCCCCCCACCAUUAUUAUACCUUUGAGGCAAGAGAAAAAGGAAUUUUCCAGUGCUGGGCCUGUGACUAGAGUCUGCAAGUGUGGGUCUCACCUCGACAUCCUCCGUAACUAUCCAGUACCCUUGGUGCCCUGGGAGGUGCGGUUUUGUUCACUGUUUAUUUUUCCUCUCGAGUGUGUAAUCACCUCAGGUAGUUAUGUUAUGGUGACAACAGAGACAUUUGUAGCUGAGCUCCUACAAGUUCCCACAGGCAGCUCUGGUGGUCAUAAAUCUUGAUGCCAUGUGACGUCUCUUUUGCAUCCAGGGACAGGAUAAUUCCACUUACCCCACCUCUGGUAAAAGGACAUUCCUGGAAGCAGCCAGCACACAGGCAUGGUCGCCAGCUUUCCUGCCCCUUCAAGGAAGAAAUUGGCUUUAAAUUAACCCCAAAUUCGUUUGUUGUAGAAAAAUCCAUUGGGCUUAGAAAUGAUCUCUUGUUUCCAAAUAUAAAUAGCAUCUAUUUAACAGAUGACUUUAUUUAUUUAUUUUAAUAUUUAAUGCCUAAUGAGCACCAAAUUGGUUAAGUUAAAAGCAACUGAGUCCUGAGAAAUGAACUCUGCCAGGCUGUGUUCUGGAGUGAGAAGCCAUUGUUCAUUGGGUGUUGUGGGUUUGUUGUUGUUGUUGUUGUUGUUGUUGUUGUUGUUAUUUACUGUGUGUUUAUCUCUGCCAAUCACAGACUGAUCUCCUCUUCCUGCCUUCCCUGCUUUUUUUCCCCUCAAAUUUGGCUUCACCCACUUUCUCUUUUAAAAAAACAUUUUUCCUAGCGACUACAUUCCAGUAUGUCACCUCAUAAAGUUCCUCUGGGUGUGCCCUUUUAAAAAAUGAAUGCUCAAAUAAGCAAACCUCUGAAGGUCACACGUACGCAGACACGUGGACACAGCAUGCACACACCCAGAAACACAGACACCCAGAGUCAGGACACUCCAAGAACCCUCAAACUAGGAAAUUUAAGAGUUCUGAGUUCUGCUCCAGUUUUGAACCAUGGUUUCCAGAGAGGUUAAAAUACCACUCUGUCCCCGCAUAAAGUAAAUGCUAAUGCUAAUAUUGCUUCAAAGGAAAGACUGUUUCUUCUUAAGUGGCUGUGCACAUUGUAACUCCGGGAGCUCUAUUCUUAGAAGAUCUAGGUGGUGUUGGGCAUAUUCUUUUAUAGAAUAAUGGGGUGUUUAUGUUACACAGUCCCAUUGUGAGAUCAAUCAGUCCCUGCCAGGGUUUAUAAACAUUGUCUGCAGGUGGUCCUGGCAGAGCAUCCCAGAAGACAACACUUUAUUGUCUGGAAACAGGCCUGCAUAGCCCAGAGCAACAGGCCCAGUGCUGUGGACAAAGCUUUGAGCUGGCCAGAAGGUAACUGAUGGAGUCACAACAAGCAAUUCUUAGCUCCUUCCCCAGGGCCUCCUGAGCAAUGGACUUCUGAGAACCAAGAACUUGAGGCCUACCAGAGAGGGAGAACUGGCCCAGCCACUCACACUCUGACAGCCUUUCUCUUUGCUUUGUAGCUCCUCCCUCCUCCCCUAAUUUUUCUUUCAGGAAGAAGGUGAAUUUUGCAGGGUUCUCUUCAGCUGUAUUUUUUCCAGUUGCAUUGGUUUGUUUGUUUGUUUUUUAAAAUAUCAAAAGUGAAUAGGGAAGUGUAGUUGUGAUGGCUUCAUAUUCUUUUUAGAUUUCCCAGAAAACACACAAGAGGUUAUUCCUUCACACUUAACCUCCAGCACCACCUGGUGAAAAUUUAAACCAGGCUACUACGUGCUAUUCAAGAAUAAAGGCAAAGCAAAUGGGGUCACAAAAAGCAUGCAUACUUAGGAGGACAGCCAUCUCUGUACCUUGCCCUCUCCUUUCCGUUUGCUCAGCACUAGCUUCAGGCCUCUUGAUCAUGUGACCUGAGAAGCAAAAGUCCUCUGAGGUUGGGACUCAGGAGAUAAUAGCGUCGAGGGCCACCUUUCCUUAAACCUCCCAGCUUACCUUCAGCUUCUCUGGUCAAGGGAGUCCUUUGUCCACCAAAGAGGUCUGUCUAGAUAGGCUCUCAAUGUCUUUCCACUUCCCAUGGUCUAUGAUUCCGUACUUCAUACCUUAGGCUACUGCAUGCCUCUGGUUUAGAAUUGGCUUCUACCCAAGACUAUGCUAUUGGCCCAGGGAAAAUAAAUAUGGCUGGGGCCUAUGCAGUCAGGACUUUGCUUUGCAUAGUUUUAGGGCUAUGCGUGCUGUCUUUGUAUCUCACAGUUAAGACCCCACCAGCAGAAAUUCAUUUUCAAAGAGGGGUGUUAAAAGAUGUGGUAUUAUUCAGAAAAGAAUGAUCUGCUGAGGGAGACUGUUGUUUUGAUUCCUCUAUAAUUUAUCUUUCAACAGAUGGCAGCCUGGAGAAGAAGCAAUAAACUAUGGCUUGCAAAUGUCAGGGCGUUGAUUCCCAAGGGUGGUGUCCAGACCGUCCUUGAUGAGGAACUAUUGUCAAACAUGAAUACUUUAGAGCCUGACUGAUUGUUUCUUACCUCUGAACACCCAGUCUACAGAAACUAAAUAAGUGCUGUUAGUUUGGGUCUCAGCUGUUCCCCAGGGACUGACAUCCCCAACCUGAGGUGCUCUUGUAAUGGGAUAGAACCUUUAGUGUGCAGAGCUGAGGUGUAGGAAGUCAUGUCACUGGAGAGACCCUGCCAUCUCCUCAAUCCUUCCUUGCUCAUUGCCCACCAUGAAGUGAGUGGCUUCCUUCCCUACCUACUCCCGCCAUGACAUUCUGGCCUGUUGCAGGCCUAAAGCAAAAGUCUAAGCAGCAAGUACAUGGAAUGACACCCUAAAAAACAGCAUGCUGGUUGGCUUGUGUCAAUUAGACACAAACCUAGACAUUUUGGGGGGAAUAGACUCUUAAUUGAGGAAAUGCCUUCAUACAAGUGGCCUGUAGGCAAGUUUGUAAGACAUUUUCUUGAGAUUCACAUACCCAUUGUGGGUACUACCAUUCCUGAAAUGGUAGCCCUGAUCGUAUAAGAAAGCAGGCAGAGGAAGCUGGGAUAAGCAAGUCAGUAAGGCAGUGUUCCUUCAUGGGUUAUGCUUCAGAGCCUGCCUUGCGUUCCUGCCCUAACUCCCUUUGAUGAUCGACUGUGAUACAAAAGUGUAAGUGAAAUAAACAUUUUCCUCCAUAAGUUGAUUUUGGCCCUGGUGCUUUAUCACAGCAGUAGAAAGCUUAACUAAACAAUGGUAAGUGGAUCACCUCAGGUAUUUCUGUUACCACUUGGAAAACAACAAGCAGAAGUACUCGGACCUUCUCUUGAAUAUCUGAAUUAAACUGGGGAGGAGAAACCUACCUUAUUUAAACCAACCAUACUAGACACGGAGGUCAGUAAUUAACCUGAAGGGUGUUUAAGGCUGGCUAGUGGUGUUCUGAGAUCUUCUCCUUGGGUCACCUUAUGUAGAGUCAAGAAGUACCUUUGAGUAAUCCUUUCCUGUAUGGGCAUUGUGCUAGGAGAAUAGGUAAAGGCCCUCCUGGGUUUUGACUGGUUAAAUUCUGGUGUUUGAGUACUUGUGCUGAAGGCCUGAGACCUAAACUUUCAUCUUGUGUCUUAUUGUCACCAAGUUUUAUUGAACCUUCUCCAUAGUUUUCGAUAGAUCUUUGGACCAUUUAUGCCAGGGGUUGAAUGGGAGUCCUUAACAUGGCUUGUGUCUUCUUUCUAUGAACUUUUGGCUUUGGCUUACCUCUGACUUGUCUUCCAAGGUUCAUGUGCUGGUGGCUUAGUCUCCACUGGAACACUGCAGAAAGCUGGAAGGACGUUAACAGGUAUUUAGGCUCAUUUUUAUUGCUGCUCAUCUGACAGGAGAGAUGAUGCAUCAGCUUUGCUGACUCAUCCCCCAGGAAAUAAUCCUCUAUAUACUUAAUAUGAGGCAAGAAGUGGGUCUGGCUUGUUCACAUCUGUCGAGACACUGGUAUACAAGAAUGCCCUCGGUGUUUAAUUGCAGAAUAAGUCAAAGGGUGCCAGUUCAGUGGAGUAAAGAGAAAAAGAUUGGCUGAAGUCAUAAGCAACACAGCUGUGCUGGAGAAAAGUGGAAAAUAGAAAACAGGGACUCCCUUGUGCUGUGAUUAGAGGUAAGACUGACCCCAUUGUCCUGUGGGUGGAGCAUCUUUUAUCUGGAAGUCUAAAAUCUAAAUUAUCUUCACUUUGAAACUCUUUGAUCUAGAUAUAACAUCACACAUGGAAAGUUAUACUCCUGACUUCUUGUGAUAGAUCAUGUAGGUACAUUAAAAGUAUUGUAUGGGAUUCACAUUAGGUUAUGUGUGUAAGGUAGAGAUGAAAUAAGUGAAUUUCAUGCUAUGAUAUGUAAACUUAGUGAUAGUCAACAAAAUGGUAAGAAUAUAAAGGAGGAGUCAACCAAGACCCAUAGGUAGAAAAAGGCAAACUACUGACUUCACCUAUGUUCAUUAAUGUAUAACCCUUGAAAUUUUAGAUUUUCUUGAUUCUCUAGUCCUUCAGAAAUGACCAGUGAAAGUCUAGUAGGACAUAUGCCCUUCUCGGGAUCUGCCUCUACCUCCCUUCAGGGUAACUAGACAAAUAACUGGGAAUGAGGUGCACAAUAGCUCGAGCUGCUGAUGGGAAAGGACCAGUCAAUUACCACAGCUGAUGGAAGCUGCACAAGGUAAUGGCCUGCACUGACUCAGUGGAAGAGCCAGACUAGACUUCAAGAUGGCGGAGGACAGCUGGCUUUCAUCCAUAUCGCUGGAAACCAUGGUGGCAAUGUUGCAUAGCUCCCUGUGUGAAACUUCAUGCAUCAUAGAAGAAAGAAACAUCCCAGAGGGAACGCAUCACCCUUACUAGGAAACUUCAUCUACCUUCCUGCUCCCUAUACCUCCCCCGAAGUGAAUUUAUGGCCAUUUACUUAAUAACCACCUCAGCAGAAAAGCAAAUCCUACUCACUUUUGGGGAGUGUUGGGCCCAGGUCUUGAGGUGAUGAAGGUAAGGCUGUACUAGGAAAGUCAUCACAACUUUUGUGUUAGAGUGGAACCCUAUGGGAAAGGAAGGAAAUAAAAUCUUGGCCCAGGUCUGGUCUGACUCCCAGUGGGAUGACAGGGUCCAGAGAGCAUAGUAAUUAUUACACACUUGUUUCAAGUGUAUAAAAAGUGGUAGCAAUGCUUGUUCAGGUAACCUUGCACUUUUUCCCUCUGCUUCUGGUCUAAGAUACAAUGGAAAUCCACCCGAGAGUUUCUGGAAUGGCCACUAGGAAAGGAACCACUAUAUAACAUCGCCUCCCUGAAGGUUUAGAUUAGUGCCACAGGAAUUGUGCAAGGUAGUGAUUGCCAUCAUCGGCCCCACUUAAUUCACAGUUUGGCACUCACAAAUGAGCUAAAUCUUGGCAGACAUUGGGAGACCACUUCAGACUCAAUUAAGUAAUAACUGCAACUGAAUUCCUACAUCUUGGCCAAAGCCCAUGGCCUCCGGCUUAUUGCAUGUAGUCAAUGUUCUGGACAAUGCUACAUUUACAUGCAGCAAACAGCAGUCUCAUUCAUAGUUAUGCUAAUUCCCUUAGUGUGGCCAUGACCCAGCUCAAAAAGGCAUGAAACUUCUAGAUGUCCACUGUAUGCCCCACUAGUCCACUUCACUGACAAUAGCAUAUUCCUAACACCAGGUUAUCAGGAAGAGCCAAGGGUGCCAAGGGUCAUAGCCUCAUCACAUGCUCCAGAAGGUGAGAGCUAAACCCUACAAGGAUUUGGGAGCACACCAGCUUGGCUUCAGUCAGAGAAGCAGAAACACUAUGAAUGGCAUACAGCAAGAGUGAGGAUUCCUGUGGCAGAGGAAAUAUAUCAGUAGUCUGGGUCAGGCUAUUCUAUACCUGAUGCAGGUCUGAAUCCAGCAGAAAAGACUAGUAUGAAGUGAAGGAGAAGAAGGACAGAGAAGAAGUGAGGACAUGGAGCAUGGAUAUGGGAAGCUUGGCUGAGGCCCCACUCUGCAAGCUGAGCCCUCUGGUUGGUGCAGGGUUCGAAGAACCAUGACUGCUUUGUACAGCCAUGUUCAGGGUGCAAUGUAAAUGUAGCUACUUGGGCCUGGAAGAACCCACAGAACCAAAAGGAAAUGUCAGAGGCAAAGCAUGCUGUUGGGCCCCAGGGCCCUAGGAUAGUGGUGAGGUCCAGGUUGUCUCUAACAGGGAGCUCAUGUCCUCUGAAAAACAGCCCCUAGAAUUGUCUGGGUAAAAACUGAAAGUCUGUCCUCAUGAUGCCAAGGAUUAUGUGGCCCAAUGCCCACAAAAUAGAAAAGAAUCUCUGUACCAAAUCCCUUGAAAGAUUGUGGUUGUGACCAAUUGAUAAGUCUGGGUAACUACACAUUGUCCAAAAGUUAAUAUGCAGAAUAUACUGCCAUUAGCAUACUAAGUGGCCAUGCUUAAUGCUGCAACCCUCCUUGCUGAGUUGAGAGGAUGGUCCAUACUGGGUGAGCCAAAGUUCCUUCCUUGCUCCGACCCCCUCCUGACCGUACACAUCUGGACAGUGGUUGAUCAGCAUGAUUUCUAAAACUAGAGGGUGUAGAGAACUAGGUUAAGACAAGCAUGGAGUCUGCUGGAAGCUACCACAGCCAGAUCCGCUGAGCCACCAUGUAAGUUUGGACAUGUCCUUUGCUUACUAGACACACAGGAACAGCAGUGGCAACUCAGAGAGACAGAGACUGAACUGUCACUGAUGGUACUCAGGCACCCAAAGCUUUCUGAACACCAGCCCUGUUCCCAGGUAGUAGAAACUAGCAAUGAGCAAACAGACAAACCCUUUGCUCUGGUUAGAGACUAGAAAAAACGAGGGAAAGAAGUCUAGAGUCAGCUCUGGGUAUUCUCAGUGAUCUGGUGCUAGGACACUGUAUACCCAACUCCAAGUGCUCAGGCCCUUCAUGUCAAAGGGUAUGAUGUUUCCACGAGCCUGAUCCAUCUUCCAUACACACCAGAUUACCUCCACAUGACCUACAGUUUCUGGUGCAGCAUCAGUGCCUGCCAAUUGGCAUGAGCAGGCUGGUAUAGAUUGUGCGAGCUAUGGAGACCACUGUGCAAGGGGUGGGGUAAUUUUAGAUACAGUGGCCUGAGAUAGUGCCUGAAAGUAAAGACUUAAAUAGGAAACAAACAAACAAGCAAGCAAAACCAAAACAAAACAAAAACAAUUCAUCAAAAUGACAAAGGAAUCAGUAUACAGGAAACUCAAAGGUACAGAGCAGGCCACAGGCAUGCAAGAAGGAGUCAGGAGGCAGCAGCCUGAAAGGAGAGGAAGAGGGAGAGAAGGGGUGGGUUAGGGAGAUGGAGACUGGGAUUGAUGGAGACUGUCUUAGUCAGGGUUUCUAUUCUUGCACAAACAUCAUGACCAAGAAGCAAAUUGGAGAGGAAAGGGUUUAUUCAUCUUACACUUUCCACAUUGCUGUUAAUCACCAAAGGAUGUCAGGACUGUAACUCAAGCAGGUCAGGAAGCAGGAGCUGAUGCAGAGGCCAUGGAGGGAUGUUACUUACUGGUUUGCUUCUCCUGGCUUGCACAGUUUGCUUUCUUAUAGAACCCAAGUAGUAGCCCAGAGAUAGCACCACCCACAAGAGGCCUUUCCCCCUUGAUCACUAAUUGAGAAAAUGCCCCACAGCUGGAUCUCAUGAAGGCACUUCCCCAACUGAAGCUCCUUUCUCUGUGAUAACUCCAGCCUGUAUCAAGUUGGCACACAAAACCAGCCAGUACAGAGACUAUCAUAAGAAGUGCCUAGUGCAACCCAGCACACAGCACACAACAGACUCCAGUCUGUGACUGUUACAGUUGCCCUUUCAUCUUUGGGGGAUAGGGCCUUAGACUCUAGUGGGUACCCAAACUCCCAGGGAGUACUGAACCCUUGGCAUUCUAUAUACAUUCCCUGUGCCUGCAUGGCUACAGUAUCAUUUAACUUCUAACUCAGAAGAGAUGAACAAAACCCAUUAAAGUAAGAUUAUACUGUGGUAAGUCUUAAGCUUCAUGACUUGUUUAUUUCUAUAAUUUGUUAUCUCACAGUGGUGGCAACCUGAGUGAUGGACACUGUGGGUGACAGAAGAUUGCUUUUGAGGGAGUAAGCUGUAUGAAGUGAGAAUAAACCUGCGGAGUUCCUCCCAUUGACUUAAUCCACUGGACUUCCUGUUUUCUGUGACGCACACCGUACAGAGGUACUUCUGCGGUGUUGAUCAACCUGCAGCUAUGCUUGCCUGUAAACACAGGAUCUCCGAGGAAUGGGAAAUUGGAGGAAGAGUCAACUGUCUGAGAAGCUGGAAGUUGGUCAAGGGCAUAGUUCUUGUUGAAACAUUCAUCAGACUCCAGACUCUGUUCCUGGAAUUGUUCCAGAGAUGCCACACGGUGAAGGUCACGGCCUGUGAACCAAAUGCUGUUCACAGGUACAUGACUGAAAUGCAAGCUAAAAUCUGCUGCCAACGCAAACACAGUUAGAAAACUUCCAGCAUUCAGUGCUCCUGGCUUCUCCGAAAGGUAAUAAAACCUGACCAUCCUGGGUCUGUGCCGUGCAAGAUGCCAAUACGUGGGAGCUCAAAGUUUACCCUGCCUCUUCACAACCCGGGAGCCUCCACCCUACUUCCUGGUGGCCUUUCUGUUGCCUCUGACCUGGAUCCAAGAGUCACUGCAUCUUGUGGUGUCUACUUUAGAGCAAGUCAACCCAGGAGUCGCAGAGGAAACAGAGCAGCAUCUUGUAGUGUGAAGAACCAGCUCCCAUUCUGUAUUUAACCAUCUGUCUUGUCUUUUAUCCGGUGGUGCUGAGACGGGGAUCCUUGGAGCGAAGUGCAGUGCAGACACUUGAUGAGCUUCCGGUCGUCCCUGUUCAAUCACGUGGGGCUUUCCAGGAUCACUGUGUUGCCGAAUGGCAUAAGAUGAGGAUACAUCUUAGUGGAGAGUCACUCUCGUGUAUGAACCCUGCUAGCUUCAUCUUGUGUCUACUCCAAGAGGCCCUUUGAAGGGCCCCUUUUGAUACAACAGGCUUGAGGCACUCCUGGACUAGCCUACGGUCAGCAAAGCAAAGAAUUUUGAUGACCGGGUUAAAGAGAUCUCACCGGCAUAACUCACCAGAAGCACACUACAGGAAUGUCCAGUCCAGGCUUGUGUGUGUGUCCCAGGAUAGCCCAACACAGAUGGGGAUGACAGUGCCAUGUGUAUUAUCAAAAGGGUGGACAGCAGCCACCAUUUAAGAAAGAAGUCCCGCUGAAUGUAGCUUUGUUCAACUAGCCACAAAUGUGGGUAGGGAAGAAAAUUACAAUAACGUAGACGUGUCCAAAGUAAACCCAAAAGGUUGUAAAGUUUUAAAAGUCCACCGAAUUGUGCUCACAUCUUAAUUAGAAAGCAAAUGCUGGCACAUCUCUUCCGAGGAGUUAAACGGUUUGAAUUAUGGAUGAGACGGAUUCCUUCAAGCUGAGCCUCUCAUUUGGACACUCAUGGAACCGGGCAAUGACACAGCCAUAAGAAGCUGCAGCUGAUCACCAGACACCCCUGUGCUUCUCCCACUUCUGAAACUCGAGUGGGCCCCUGAGAUAAGAAUGAGAAUGUCUGUCUCCUGUCACUUUCAUCUGGAGGCCCUGUGAUGACGCCUGCAUCUUGUUUCUUCCCCCAACAGUGGAGGCCACGUGCCAAGCUCAAGAUGCGUCAGCAGAUCAAAGCGCUGCUCCAACCCCGAUCAUCUGAGCUUGAUGGAAGGAUGAGGCCUGAAUCCAGAAACUUGCUCUCCUCCCUCCAUACUCAGGCUAUGGCACCUGCGUGUACCCCCUGACUCCAAAUCACAAACACACACACCAUACAUAUACAGACUCAGUGUUAAUAAUAAAUUAAAUUAAAAUUAAAAUAUGUGUUUGAAGAGUUCAAUGUGGCAAUCCAGGCGAGGGAAGUCACAGACCCUGAGACUCACUGGUUGGGCGGCUCAGAAGGGUGAGCAGGAGAGCAGCGUGGGAUGCUGAGAAACUGGUAGCACUGGUUGCACACAGGAGCCUGAGAAAAUAAGGACAUACACUGAAUACAGUGGGUCUGGAGGUUUUCUGGACAUUGAUAUGCACCGUGGAGGUCCUCUAAGUUGAUGAUGAAAGUGGAAACUCAUCACCUAGUCUUGGAACCACAUCUUUCACUGCUGAGAUAUACAAAUAUCAAUUGUCUCAGCCCUCAGCAACAUGCUGUCCAAGUCUAUGGCCUGGAGAGUGGUCUAUGGCACCAAGAAGAGGAUUCUCGGAGGUUCAGGCAAUCAUGAAGUUGCCUGAGGACCCUGGAGAGAUGGCUGCUUCCAGAUGGGGAUUAGAAUAUUCCAAGUCCGGAUGGGCAUGUUUUUAGCAGAAUUUGAUGUAUUCCAGGAGGGAACACAUGGAAAGGACAUAGGUACCAAAUGAAUGGCUUCCGGUGGCCAAUGCAGAUUGUAGCACAUUGACUAAAUAACAACCCACAUGGCUUGCUGAAGCACCUGAAUAAAUGAGUAUCUAUAUUACAUAUACAUAUACAUACAUACAUACGUGUGGGUAUCUAUAUUAUAUCUCUAUAUACAUAUGUGUGUGUGUGAAGGCCAAAGUUCUCUAUAGAAGAAUGGCAAUGUCAAAAGUUGAAGGAAGUAGAAAAUCUCUACUGGGCAUCCUGAUUAUUAAUAUGUAAUUCAUUUAGGACCCAUUAGCAGGCACUAAAACUAAUGUUUGAACAAUAGACAAAGGUCGGGGAAUUUGCCAUUCUUGAAGCAUUUCACAAGAGGCUUAUCAGAAGCGCAAAAGGGUGUUUACAGUGAAGGGAGACUCCUCAACUCUGGAGUCAUGUCACAGCAUCACAGGAUGGGCACAGAAAGGGCUGCUCCAUUUCAUCCCUGUGGGACUUCUGCCAAGCAUGAAUAACCUCAAUUCAGUCAUGAGAAAGUACCAGGUAAACCCAAAUUGCAGGAUCCAUCAUCAGCCAUUCUCUUAAAGAUGGUAAGGUUGUGAGAGCUAAUGAAAGACUGGGGAAGACAGGGAUGUGGUGACUGAGGGCAGUGUGUGUGUGUGUGUGUGUGUGUGUGUGUGUGUGUGUGUGUACAUGUGCAUGUGUGUGU
This is a long non-coding RNA of Mus musculus (house mouse), 12171 nucleotides long. RefSeq annotates it as RIKEN cDNA G630018N14 gene. The record is from RefSeq and is a predicted model, not a curated record. Lineage: Eukaryota; Metazoa; Chordata; Mammalia; Rodentia; Muridae. The transcript has 13 exons.